Felis catus (domestic cat) is the source of this 575-nucleotide long non-coding RNA. RefSeq lists it as uncharacterized. Lineage: Eukaryota; Metazoa; Chordata; Mammalia; Carnivora; Felidae. The transcript is spliced from 3 exons. The record is from RefSeq and is a predicted model, not a curated record.
AUAUAAAGCCCAUUUAGGUUAUCCCUAGAAUUCUGUUCUUACAGAUUGUCCAUAAAGAACAGCAUACAACAGAUAAGGAUGAAAUCUGCAAAGAUGAGAAAGCAAAGGCUCUGCUACAGUUUCUCCGAUGUCGUUCCAACCCUCCUAGGUGAUGACCCACAAGGUGGUAAAUAAUCCUGGAAGAAACCACAGGCAGUGAAAAAUAGCUACUUCAAACGACAAGACCGCAGCUUCUAAUCCUCUUGUGUAUGAGUGAAGCCCGUUGUAGCCAUUCGAUGUAACGGAAGACAUCUGCCAUCUUCAGACCUGCCUCAAUUGUUGAACAAGAUUCUCCACAUGCACACCCCAGACCCCUGUCCACACAGCAGGAUGCAGGAGGCUGAGAUGGAAAAGCCACAUUAAUUAUUAGAGCAGUAAAGAAGGCAAGAGCCUGUGCCAUGAUCUUGAAACAUAUAAAGAAUUUACUGUAAAAGAACUUUCUGUUUUUUUGUUUCCCUGUGGUUGGUCGAGAGGGUGAUACAGAGGAAGGAGCAAGAGAAUAAAAAUCUAGAUCUUCUGAGCUCAGGAACACGAAG